RNAcentral lists this non-coding RNA (29 nucleotides) under Homo sapiens (human). The record is from RNAcentral. Lineage: Eukaryota; Metazoa; Chordata; Mammalia; Primates; Hominidae.
UGCUGGUGUCCCACUUUGAUCAGUGAAAU